Molecule: non-coding RNA, 202 nt
Organism: Anopheles gambiae (African malaria mosquito)
Lineage: Eukaryota; Metazoa; Arthropoda; Insecta; Diptera; Culicidae
Source: Rfam
AGCAAUACCUCGCUGAUACGGGGGUGGAUCCGAAGCCUCUAGAAGGUUGACAUAGGCUCUCCACCUCCUACUCCUACUCAAUACGUCCCUGUCGUACAGAACGGUAACAUGUCUCUCAAUUAUCCAAGCUUGGGUAUACGGGGAUACCCAACCCCUUGGGCGGAUAUGCAACCCAUCCCCAACGUUGGCUACAUUGAGAGGG